UCAAAAUCAAAACAAAUAAAAAUUAUUGGUAAAAUAACUCCCUUUUUUUUAAAGAAAAUUCUUGUUAAUAUUGCCUUAUAAAUGAAAAGUCAAUGUCCUUGUCAUAUAAUUAUUAAGUUUUCAGUGUGGACACUUUUUAUAUUCCAUUUAAAAAAAUUGAACGGAAGAAUAGGGGUUUCAGAAAGGAAAAGUUAAAUACAAAAAAUUAAAAAUGUUGAUAAAUUGUGGCAAUCGUUCCAAAUAAAUAGGGGUCAUCUGAUAUUGCAAACAAUAAGUUAAUAUGCUGCAUAUGAAAAACAGAUUGUCAAUAGGCUUGAUAAGUAAAAUCAUGUGCAAAAAAAUAUUAAAAUUGUUGUUUUUUUGGCUGGAAAAAUGUCGAAAAAAAAACCCAUUUUUUUGUUAUGUUGCUAUGGAAAAUUUGGUUACCAUGGUGACUCAGGAAAUUUUAAAUAGUUCAUUUACUCUUUAAAAUUACAUAGUGAAUAUGGAAAUGUGAAUUGAUAAGAUAUUAAGACAUAUUUUAAAUUUGAGUAUGUAAUAAAUGUGUUUUGUAUGGUUCUGUUUCCAUCAACUUGAAAAAUGGAUCAUUUUAUGGUUGCCUAGCAACGGAAACGCUGUAUGUUUCCGACUCAUUUGAAUUUUGUUUUAUGAAGUCAAAGUACCAAUAGUUGUUGACAUAUGCAUGAUAUUAAAUGAUCUUUCAGAUAACUUGAGAAAAAGACCAAUGAAUAUGUUGUAAAAUUUCAAAAUUGUCAAUAAAUUCUAAGAAUCAAAACUAUGUAAUGCUUGGCUAGCAGUCAAAUUUUUUUU
Molecule: long non-coding RNA, 810 nt
Filed under: Mytilus galloprovincialis (Mediterranean mussel)
Lineage: Eukaryota; Metazoa; Mollusca; Bivalvia; Mytilida; Mytilidae
Source: RNAcentral